ACGACGUCGAGCUACUACGGUAGUGAAGUCAUUGAUGCCAUGCUUCCAGGAAAAGCCUCUAAGCUUCAGAUAGUCAGGAAUCGUACCCCAAACCGACACAGGUGGUCGGGUAGAGAAUACCAAGGCGCUUGAGAGAACUCGGGUGAAGGAACUAGGCAAAAUGGUACCGUAACUUCGGGAGAAGGUACGCUCUUGAUGGUGAAGUCCCUCGCGGAUGGAGCUGACGAGAGUCGCAGAUACCAGGUGGCUGCAACUGUUUAUUAAAAACACAGCACUGUGCAAAAUCGCAAGAUGACG
This 297-nucleotide ribosomal RNA is filed under the name Vibrio cholerae CP1032(5). RNAcentral describes it as "partial 16S ribosomal RNA". It matches the Rfam family "Bacterial large subunit ribosomal RNA", at positions 1563 to 1843 of the family's 2925-position model. The record is from RNAcentral. Lineage: Bacteria; Pseudomonadati; Pseudomonadota; Gammaproteobacteria; Vibrionales; Vibrionaceae.